This is a non-coding RNA of Lactuca sativa (garden lettuce), 238 nucleotides long. NCBI's taxonomy places the organism in Eukaryota, Viridiplantae, Streptophyta, Magnoliopsida, Asterales, Asteraceae. The record is from RefSeq and is a predicted model, not a curated record.
CGGCGCUUUACUGUUUUUUCUACUCUACUCAUAAGCAAAUCGAUUUAGAGGAAAGCUAAUAUGGGAACAGAAAGUGUCAAUUGGCAUUCAGUUUUAGAUUGUGACCAAUGGGUUGCCCUCCCAGUAGCUGGGCAGCGACCAUCAGCCCGCUAUAAGCAUGUUGCAGUUGUUGCUGAUGAAAAGUUAUACAUUGUUGGUGGAAGUCGUAAUGGGUGAUACUUAUCUGAUGUUCAGGUAU